This 468-nucleotide ribosomal RNA is filed under the name uncultured bacterium. Its description in RNAcentral is "partial 16S ribosomal RNA". It matches the Rfam family "Bacterial small subunit ribosomal RNA", at positions 28 to 507 of the family's 1533-position model. The record is from RNAcentral.
GACGAACGCUGGCGGCGUGCUUAACACAUGCAAGUCGAACGGAAAGGCCCUGCUUUUGUGGGGUGCUCGAUUGGCGAAGGGGUGAGUAACACGUGAGUAACCUGCCCUUGUCUUUGGGAUAACUUCAGGAAACUGGGGCUCAUAUCGGAUAGGAGCUCCUGCUGCAUGGUGGGGGUUGGAAAGUUUCGGCGGUUGGGGCUGGACUCGCUGGUUAUGCGCUUGUUGGUGGGGUAGUGGCUUACCAAGGCUUUGACGGAUAGCCGGCCUGAGAGGGUGACCGGGCACAUGGGUACUAAGAGACGGCGCAGACGCCAACCGGAGGCAACGGUGGGGAAUAUUGCGCAGUGGGGGGGAGUCAGAUGCAGAGAUCCUGGGUGCGGGAUGACCGGCUACGGGUUGUAAACCGCUUUCGAAGGAGCCGUACCGGGAGUGACGGUAAUGGGUAAGAAAGCACCGGCUAACUACGUG